CAGUCGCCGCGGGAAUACGGAGGGUGCAAGCGUUAUCCGGAUUUAUUGGGUUUAAAGGGUCCGUAGGCGGACUUAUAAGUCAGUGGUGAAAGCCUGUCGCUUAACGAUAGAACUGCCAUUGAUACUGUAAGUCUUGAGUAUAUUUGAGGUAGCUGGAAUAAGUAGUGUAGCGGUGAAAUGCAUAGAUAUUACUUAGAACACCAAUUGCGAAGGCAGGUUACCAAGAUAUAACUGACGCUGAGGGACGAAAGCGUGGGUAGCGAACAGGAUUAGAUACCCCUGUAGUCCCUGUCUCUUAUAA
This 301-nucleotide ribosomal RNA is filed under the name uncultured bacterium. RNAcentral's name for it is "partial 16S ribosomal RNA". It matches the Rfam family "Bacterial small subunit ribosomal RNA", at positions 509 to 809 of the family's 1533-position model. The record is from RNAcentral.